RNAcentral lists this ribosomal RNA (371 nucleotides) under uncultured organism. RNAcentral's name for it is "bacterial SSU rRNA". It matches the Rfam family "Bacterial small subunit ribosomal RNA", at positions 526 to 896 of the family's 1533-position model. The record is from RNAcentral.
CAGAGGGUGCGAGCGUUAAUCGGAAUUACUGGGCGUAAAGCGCGCGUAGGCGGCUUUGCAAGUCGGGUGUGAAAUCCCCAGGCUUAACCUGGGAACUGCACUCGAGACUGCAUUGCUAGAGUAUGGGAGAGGGAAGUGGAAUUUCCGGUGUAGCGGUGAAAUGCGUAGAUAUCGGAAGGAACAUCAGUGGCGAAAGCGACUUCCUGGACCAAUACUGACGCUCAUGUGCGAAAGCGUGGGGAGCAAACAGGAUUAGAUACCCUGGUAGUCCACGCCAUAAACGAUGACAACUGGAUGUCGGGAGGGUCUGCCUCUCGGUGUCGUAGCUAACGCGUUAAGUUGUCCGCCUGGGGAGUACGGCCGCAAGGUUG